Molecule: long non-coding RNA, 797 nt
Organism: Neogale vison (American mink)
Lineage: Eukaryota; Metazoa; Chordata; Mammalia; Carnivora; Mustelidae
Exons: 2
Source: RefSeq, a predicted model, not a curated record
CUUAUAAGAGGGAGGCAGGAGGGUCAGUCAGAAGAGAUGGGACUGUGGAGGUAGAGUCUGGAGGGAUGUGCUUUGAAAAAUGGAAGAAGAGGUCACUAGCCAAGGAAUGCAAACAGCCCCUAAAGGCCAGAAAAGGCUAGAAAACAGAUUCUUCCCUGAAGCUGCAGACAAAAUGCAGCCCUGUCAGCAUCUUGGUUUUGGACUCUGACCCCCAGACCUGUAAGAGAAUAAAACUGUGUUGAUUUAAGCCACUAAAUUUGUGAUAACUUGUCAUAGCAGCAAUGGAAAAUGAAUACAGAACUUUUUGGGGAAUGUUCUGUAAUUCAAAAGCUUGUUUGCUUUUCUUUUAUGAUAGUGAGUGAGAAGAAGGGUGGUAAAGCCUAAGUCCCUUCUUGCUGUUCCUCCUCUUCAGAGGAAGUUGAGCUAUUCAGGAACGUUCCUCAUCCCAGCCUCUGUAUUUAAGAGGCUGAGCUGUGUGCCCAUCUCAGUUGGGUCCUGGACUUUCUGGAAGCCUUGGCUGUCAGAACAUGUCUAGAGCAUUGGGGUGAGCCACACCCCAGGAGAACUUCAGGAGCCGGUUCCUCCCUCCCUGAAAGAUCUGGAGACGCGGUGGGAAAUACAUGGACAAGAGUCUGGAAGGACAUGAUGCCCCAGCCACCCCAGAGUCAGCCUGGAGUGGGAGUGGGAGACAAGGGAGGCAUCACUCCAGCUGGGUCUCUUGAAUUGUUUUACAGUAAAGGUGCAUUCCUGCACUACUUAUGGAAUUAAAAAAAUAAACUUAAAUAUAUUAGACCUAU